AUACAGAGGGUGCGAGCGUUAAUCGGAAUUACUGGGCGUAAAGCGCGCGUAGGCGGCUUAUUAAGUCAGAUGUGAAAUCCCCGGGCUCAACCUGGGAACUGCAUCUGAUACUGGUAAGCUAGAGUUUUGGAGAGGGAAGUAGAAUUUCAGGUGUAGCGGUGAAAUGCAUAGAGAUCUGAAGGAAUACCAGUGGCGAAGGCGACUUCCUGGCCAAAAACUGACGCUGAGGUGCGAAAGCGUGGGUAGCAAACAGGAUUAGAUACCCUAGUAGUCC
Molecule: ribosomal RNA, 274 nt
Filed under: uncultured bacterium
Lineage: Bacteria
Description: partial 16S ribosomal RNA
Rfam family: Bacterial small subunit ribosomal RNA
Source: RNAcentral